RNAcentral lists this long non-coding RNA (585 nucleotides) under Pan troglodytes (chimpanzee). Its description in RNAcentral is "lincRNA". Lineage: Eukaryota; Metazoa; Chordata; Mammalia; Primates; Hominidae. The record is from RNAcentral.
CUUCACCUCCCAUUGUCUCUGUCUCUCUCUUUCUCCUCUGCUUCCCCUCCCCCCACAACCAAAGUCAAGAGCACAGACCCCACGAUCACCUGAUACCUCCAAGCAAGCAGGUGUUCUUUUCAGAAGCCAGAAGCUGAUAACCUGGGCUUUCUGAUCUAACCCCAGCCCAAAUUCAUUGCAAUGGAGGAAUUGGGGAGGAGAUUCUUCCUACUGAGAAGUGGGUGCCAACUCUCCCUUUCAAAUUUGUUCAUCAACUAACUAAAGGGGAUGCCAGAAAUGUCUGGAGCAAUGGAAGAACCACUGGAAUAAUGCUCCUGCCUGAUUGCAUCUACUUAACCCACUCUCCAAGAGCCAGAAUCAGAUUUCAACCGUAUGGAAUCAUCUACAAUGCAGCAGAUGGGUUUACAAGUCUCUUGGUCUCUUCGUGUAAUUAACAGCCAAGAAGUCUAAAGCUUGCAUUGUUUACGUGGAAGAUGUUUCUUGCCCAUUCCCACGCCAUGCCAUCUGAAAUCGCUCCUUUUUUUAUUUUUUCUGUGCAGUUUUUUUAACUUUGUGGGAUCCUCUGCAUAUAAAACUCCAUUCAAC